UACGAAGGGGGCUAGCGUUGCUCGGAAUCACUGGGCAUAAAGGGUGCGUAGGCGGGUUUUUAAGUCAGGGGUGAAAUCCUGGAGCUCAACUCCAGAACUGCCUUUGAUACUGAAGAUCUUGAGUCCGGGAGAGGUGAGUGGAACUGCGAGUGUAGAGGUGAAAUUCGUAGAUAUUCGCAAGAACACCAGUGGCGAAGGCGGCUCACUGGCCCGGUACUGACGCUGAGGCACGAAAGCGUGGGGAGCAAACAGG
This 253-nucleotide ribosomal RNA is filed under the name uncultured bacterium. RNAcentral's name for it is "partial 16S ribosomal RNA". It matches the Rfam family "Bacterial small subunit ribosomal RNA", at positions 524 to 776 of the family's 1533-position model. The record is from RNAcentral.